CUCACCAUAAUUGUUGCAUUUUCAGAUCUUUCAUCCCAACUGAAUUAACUCUACGUUUCCUUAGAGAGGUUGCAAUUUGGUCAUAGUAAAUUUGGUGUCAUAUGAUAGCUAUUACCCUUUUGUUUUGGCUGUGACUGAAACCUUAUAUUUAGGAGGUGAUCUUCUGGCUUUGGUAGUUUGACUUUAUUUGACAGUAUUUCUUUUGAUAUCCAGCAAUCUGGAACAUGAAACUAUGAUCUACUGAAGAUGAAAAGAUGAACACAUAGCCUACUUCGAUUAGCUAAUUCUGUGAUGUUGCUUGUUGUUAAGUAGUGCAGCAUUUGUACUGUCAGAUUUAGUCUGGGCAUCUUAUUUUUCUGCCAUUCCAAAUUUUCCUGUUUAUUUAAGUAUUAGUCAGUACACCCACAUAAAAAAAUCAUUCACUUCUAAUACUAUCAUAUCGCACUCUUACAACAAGUGCAUCCCAACCUCCCCUAUGGACAACUCGCUGGGUACUCUUGUGUAUCUAUCUUAAACAUGCAUCAUUUGAAUUAUUUAUUCACUCAGGAUGACACUUGACAAAAUUCAUCGGCAGUAAAUUCACCUAUGUUGCAUACAUAGUGAUUCACCUAAACUUCAUAUGCACUAAUUCCUCUGUCACUCCUAUGUUAAAGAGUUGGGCACAACUACGACAAGCAGAAGAUUGGUGAACGGGAUGAAACAGUCGAUACCAAUGAGAAUGUCGUUGGUGCUAACAAAAGAGUAAAUAGCAACAUCAGUGCUGGCUUUCCAUCUGAAUCUGAGACAUUGAAUGAGAUCCUGUCAUUGCUAAGAAAAGCUAAGGAGGUCACCACCAAGAAUACCAAGGCCGCGUCGACGGACUCAGAAUUUCAAGUGUCAUUGCAUUGUCGAGUAUGUUCAGCGGGAAGGAAAGCAACAAGCUGCUGGGGGUCAGGAUGACAAAGAUUGGUUCAACGUCGGCUGCUUCGUUGUGCCAGUGCCACACUUAGGCUGGUACAUGCACGUACGACCAUGGCGUCGGCGCCACUUCUUCAUCUUCUCCCGAACUGGCCCAUCCUCGCCAUUUCCACCGGGAUAAGCGAGUUGGAGGAAGAUGGAGAGGUGAGCUGGUUCUACUCAUUGACAGGAAAUUAUUUGGGCAUAACUUCCUUUUCGCAACAAGAAAUGAAAAUGUUCCCAUGAGAUUGAUUGAUCGUGCCCCGCUUUUGAACCAAUGUCAUCUAUGUCAUCGGUCAUGUAACCUCUAAGGCACCUGAUAAUAUAUAUGAUGUAACUGUCUUUUCUUCUAAAGAUGACCUAUUGUGUCAAUGUGUUGC
RNAcentral lists this ribosomal RNA (1316 nucleotides) under Triticum aestivum (bread wheat). RNAcentral's name for it is "partial small subunit ribosomal RNA". The record is from RNAcentral. Lineage: Eukaryota; Viridiplantae; Streptophyta; Magnoliopsida; Poales; Poaceae.